This 128-nucleotide ribosomal RNA is filed under the name Staphylococcus epidermidis. RNAcentral describes it as "partial 16S ribosomal RNA". It matches the Rfam family "Bacterial small subunit ribosomal RNA", at positions 1 to 123 of the family's 1533-position model. The record is from RNAcentral. Lineage: Bacteria; Bacillati; Bacillota; Bacilli; Caryophanales; Staphylococcaceae.
UUUAUGGAGAGUUUGAUCCUGGCUCAGGAUGAACGCUGGCGGCGUGCCUAAUACAUGCAAGUCGAGCGAACAGACGAGGAGCUUGCUCCUCUGACGUUAGCGGCGGACGGGUGAGUAACACGUGUAAC